Molecule: ribosomal RNA, 490 nt
Filed under: uncultured bacterium
Lineage: Bacteria
Description: partial 16S ribosomal RNA
Rfam family: Bacterial small subunit ribosomal RNA
Source: RNAcentral
AAUGAAGGCUGGCGGCAUGCCUUACACAUGCAAGUCGAACGGCAGCAUGACCUAGCUUGCUAGGUUGAUGGCGAGUGGCGAACGGGUGAGUAAUGCAUCGGAACGUGCCUUUUAGUGGGGGAUAACGUAGCGAAAGUUACGCUAAUACCGCAUAUUCUCUGAGGAGGAAAGCAGGGGACCUUCGGGCCUUGCGCUAGAAGAGCGGCCGAUGUCGGAUUAGCUAGUUGGUGAGGUAAAGGCUCACCAAGGCAACGAUCCGUAGCGGGUCUGAGAGGAUGAUCCGCCACACUGGGACUGAGACACGGCCCAGACUCCUACGGGAGGCAGCAGUGGGGAAUUUUGGACAAUGGGCGCAAGCCUGAUCCAGCCAUGCCGCGUGAGUGAAGAAGGCCUUCGGGUUGUAAAGCUCUUUCGGCUGGGAAGAAAUCGCACCCUCUAAUACAGGGUGUGGAUGACGGUACCAGCAUAAGAAGCACCGGCUAACUACGUG